UACGUAGGGCGCGAGCGUUGUCCGGAAUUAUUGGGCGUAAAGAGCUCGUAGGCGGCUUGUCACGUCGGUUGUGAAAGCCCGGGGCUUAACCCCGGGUCUGCAGUCGAUACGGGCAGGCUAGAGUUCGGUAGGGGAGAUCGGAAUUCCUGGUGUAGCGGUGGAAUGCGCAGAUAUCAGGAGGAACACCGAUGGCGAAGGCAGUUCUCUGGGCCGUAACUGACGCUGAGGAGCGAAAGCGUGGGGAGCGAACAGG
RNAcentral lists this ribosomal RNA (253 nucleotides) under uncultured bacterium. Its description in RNAcentral is "partial 16S ribosomal RNA". It matches the Rfam family "Bacterial small subunit ribosomal RNA", at positions 524 to 776 of the family's 1533-position model. The record is from RNAcentral.